RNAcentral lists this unclassified non-coding RNA (247 nucleotides) under Hevea brasiliensis (rubber tree). The record is from RNAcentral. Lineage: Eukaryota; Viridiplantae; Streptophyta; Magnoliopsida; Malpighiales; Euphorbiaceae.
AAACUCCUUAAAUACUUAACACAUUUUGGAGUGGGCUAAGAAACCAUUGCUUGAACCUUGGUAGGUCCAGCAGCAACACCCUUGCCAGAAAUUAUGUGCCCAAGGUAGUCAAUUUUAGCUUGCCAAAAGAGCAUUUGCUCAAUUUAACAUAAAGCUGCUGCUAUAACACUUUAAAAACUUCCAUCAUAUGCCUUAAAUGCUCCUCCCAAGAUGAGUUAUGGAUCAGAAUGUCAUUAAAAAAGACCAA